This 1961-nucleotide ribosomal RNA is filed under the name Escherichia coli. Its description in RNAcentral is "partial 23S ribosomal RNA". It matches the Rfam family "Bacterial large subunit ribosomal RNA", at positions 984 to 2925 of the family's 2925-position model. Lineage: Bacteria; Pseudomonadati; Pseudomonadota; Gammaproteobacteria; Enterobacterales; Enterobacteriaceae. The record is from RNAcentral.
CACACGGCGGGUGCUAACGUCCGUCGUGAAGAGGGAAACAACCCAGACCGCCAGCUAAGGUCCCAAAGUCAUGGUUAAGUGGGAAACGAUGUGGGAAGGCCCAGACAGCCAGGAUGUUGGCUUAGAAGCAGCCAUCAUUUAAAGAAAGCGUAAUAGCUCACUGGUCGAGUCGGCCUGCGCGGAAGAUGUAACGGGGCUAAACCAUGCACCGAAGCUGCGGCAGCGACGCUGAUGCGUUGUUGGGUAGGGGAGCGUUCUGUAAGCCUGCGAAGGUGUGCUGUGAGGCAUGCUGGAGGUAUCAGAAGUGCGAAUGCUGACAUAAGUAACGAUAAAGCGGGUGAAAAGCCCGCUCGCCGGAAGACCAAGGGUUCCUGUCCAACGUUAAUCGGGGCAGGGUGAGUCGACCCCUAAGGCGAGGCCGAAAGGCGUAGUCGAUGGGAAACAGGUUAAUAUUCCUGUACUUGGUGUUACUGCGAAGGGGGGACGGAGAAGGCUAUGUUGGCCGGGCGACGGUUGUCCCGGUUUAAGCGUGUAGGCUGGUUUUCCAGGCAAAUCCGGAAAAUCAAGGCUGAGGCGUGAUGACGAGGCACUACGGUGCUGAAGCAACAAAUGCCCUGCUUCCAGGAAAAGCCUCUAAGCAUCAGGUAACAUCAAAUCGUACCCCAAACCGACACAGGUGGUCAGGUAGAGAAUACCAAGGCGCUUGAGAGAACUCGGGUGAAGGAACUAGGCAAAAUGGUGCCGUAACUUCGGGAGAAGGCACGCUGAUAUGUAGGUGAAGUCCCUUGCGGAUGGAGCUGAAAUCAGUCGAAGAUACCAGCUGGCUGCAACUGUUUAUUAAAAACACAGCACUGUGCAAACACGAAAGUGGACGUAUACGGUGUGACGCCUGCCCGGUGCCGGAAGGUUAAUUGAUGGGGUCAGCGCAAGCGAAGCUCUUGAUCGAAGCCCCGGUAAACGGCGGCCGUAACUAUAACGGUCCUAAGGUAGCGAAAUUCCUUGUCGGGUAAGUUCCGACCUGCACGAAUGGCGUAAUGAUGGCCAGGCUGUCUCCACCCGAGACUCAGUGAAAUUGAACUCGCUGUGAAGAUGCAGUGUACCCGCGGCAAGACGGAAAGACCCCGUGAACCUUUACUAUAGCUUGACACUGAACAUUGAGCCUUGAUGUGUAGGAUAGGUGGGAGGCUUGGAAGUGUGGACGCCAGUCUGCAUGGAGCCGACCUUGAAAUACCACCCUUUAAUGUUUGAUGUUCUAACGUUGACCCGUAAUCCGGGUUGCGGACAGUGUCUGGUGGGUAGUUUGACUGGGGCGGUCUCCUCCUAAAGAGUAACGGAGGAGCACGAAGGUUGGCUAAUCCUGGUCGGACAUCAGGAGGUUAGUGCAAUGGCAUAAGCCAGCUUGACUGCGAGCGUGACGGCGCGAGCAGGUGCGAAAGCAGGUCAUAGUGAUCCGGUGGUUCUGAAUGGAAGGGCCAUCGCUCAACGGAUAAAAGGUACUCCGGGGAUAACAGGCUGAUACCGCCCAAGAGUUCAUAUCGACGGCGGUGUUUGGCACCUCGAUGUCGGCUCAUCACAUCCUGGGGCUGAAGUAGGUCCCAAGGGUAUGGCUGUUCGCCAUUUAAAGUGGUACGCGAGCUGGGUUUAGAACGUCGUGAGACAGUUCGGUCCCUAUCUGCCGUGGGCGCUGGAGAACUGAGGGGGGCUGCUCCUAGUACGAGAGGACCGGAGUGGACGCAUCACUGGUGUUCGGGUUGUCAUGCCAAUGGCACUGCCCGGUAGCUAAAUGCGGAAGAGAUAAGUGCUGAAAGCAUCUAAGCACGAAACUUGCCCCGAGAUGAGUUCUCCCUGACCCUUUAAGGGUCCUGAAGGAACGUUGAAGACGACGACGUUGAUAGGCCGGGUGUGUAAGCGCAGCGAUGCGUUGAGCUAACCGGUACUAAUGAACCGUGAGGCUUAACCUU